Condylura cristata (star-nosed mole) is the source of this 3716-nucleotide RNA transcript. It is a transcript of the gene named UDP-Gal:betaGlcNAc beta 1,4- galactosyltransferase, polypeptide 4, with no coding region annotated. Lineage: Eukaryota; Metazoa; Chordata; Mammalia; Eulipotyphla; Talpidae. The transcript has 8 exons. The record is from RefSeq and is a predicted model, not a curated record.
CCUCGGAGCGGCAGGGGCGGUACCCGAGAUCACGUCUCGCUGCCUUCACUUUCUCGGGCCAGCUCGGCUCCGCUGCGCCUGGGAGUUUGUCGGAGCAGAACUACUGAGUAAAGCAGCUUUGUUACUUGAGUUGUAAAGUUCUCAAUCAUAUUGGAAAAGUUGAAGCUUCCUGCCAGCAGUGUGGUGGAGAGAUACAUUUUGCUCAUAGAAGAGAAGAUAUGGGCUUCAAAGUGACUUCUCAUUUUUCCUAUAAAUUUCGGUUACUGUUGCUUUUUACCUUAUGCCUGACAGUGUUGGGGUGGGCCACUAGUAAUUACUUUGUGGAUGCUAUCCGUGAGAUUCCUAAAGCAAAGGAUUUCAUGGCUAACUUCAACAAGAUCGUAGUUUGGAGGAAGGAAGAAACUGUGACAGAGGAAGCAUCCACGAAUAAAGCAAAUCUGGAGAGCUGCCCUUCUUUGUCUCCAUACCUCAAAGGACGGAGCCAGCUCAUUUUCAAACCAGAUAUCACACUGGAGGACGUGCAGGCUGAAAAUCCCAGCGUGCACAGGGGCCGCUAUCACCCUGAGGACUGUCAGGCUACACAGCGGGUUGCCAUCCUCAUUCCACACCGGAACAGGGAGAGGCACCUGCUGUACCUGCUGGAGCAUCUCCAUCCCUUUCUGCAGAGGCAGCAGCUGGACUACGGCAUCUACGUCAUCCACCAAGCUGGAAGUAAAAAGUUUAAUCGAGCCAAGCUCUUGAAUGUGGGCUAUCUAGAAGCUCUUAAGGAUGAAAAUUGGGACUGCUUCAUAUUCCACGAUGUGGACCUGGUGCCCGAGAAUGACUUUAACCUUUACAAGUGUGAGAGUCAGCCCAAGCAUCUGGUGGUUGGCAGGAACAGCACUGGCUACAGGUUACGUUACAGUGGAUAUUUUGGGGGUGUUACUGCCCUAAGCAGAGAGCAGUUUUUCAAGGUGAAUGGAUUCUCUAACAACUACUGGGGAUGGGGAGGCGAAGACGAUGACCUCAGACUCAGGGUUGAACUUCAGAGAAUGAAAAUAGUCCGGCCAUUGCCCGAAGUGGGUAAAUAUACAAUGAUCCUCCACACUAGAGACAGAGGCAAUGAAGUAAAUGGUGAUAGGAUGAAGCUUUUACAGCAGGUGUCACGAGUGUGGAAAACAGAUGGGUUGAGUAGCUGUAGUUAUAAGCUACUCUCUGUGGAUUACAAUCCUCUAUAUAUUAACCUCACAGUGGAUUUCUGGUCUGACCCAUGACCCUGAAUCAGCUCAGAAGAACUGAAUAUUUGAUUGCAAUAAUUUUGAACCAGAGACUUCCUUUGGUAGUUCAAAAUAAGAACAACCAAAUAGAUCUUAAUUUAUUAAUUAUUAAGCCAAUUAUUAAGCCGAAUUUUUUCUUUUUGUACUUUCUUAGCGGAGUUCUUGGUGAUAUGGAAUGUAAACACUAGUGUAACAAGACUGCUUUCUCAGUUGUUUUAUCAUAGGAAUUAAACAUCAUGAUAUAAAUACUUGAAGGACUAUGUGUAAAAGACUCUACAAAGGAUAUGUGAAUGCUGCUUGAAGAAAAUGCCAAGGGAAAUAAAAUAGCUAAAUGCCCUGGAAAACCAGAAUUAUUCUCCUCAAGGUAGAAAGAUGAAUGGACAUGUGUAAUGUAGAUAGAUGUGGGUGUUCUUCAGGGAGUAUUAAGCAGCGGUGCCCAGCUCAUCAUUGUUAUAUGAAAUGGUUAAACUUCAGUAUGAUGGGUGCCAACCAAUAAGUGUAAGUAAUAUCCUUUCCAAAGGGGAGAGGGAAGGCAUAGGAGAGCUUGGGGUACUCAAGAAAGAUAGCAUCCACCUCCCAAGUAAGGAAGGAAAAUUUGAAAGAACAUCUGUCUGUCUAUCUGUCUGGCAUCUAUCUCCCUCUUUCCCCUUCUUCCCUCUGUCCCUCCCUGCAUAGACAUGACAGAUUUACCUCAGACUGGUCAUCUCAUUUAAUUUGGGGACAAGUAAAAGCUCUGUCUUUAUUUAGCAAGCACUUAUUUUCAUAGUCUCCCCUACCCCUUGACCUUCUCAUUCUUUUUAUCUUUCUGGAAUACAGCCCCAGUUUCUUAAUUAAAACCUACAUGCCUACGCUAGGCCUCCCCAGCCUGGUCUUGGUUGGGGAUGGAGGGUAAAGCACAAGAAUGCUGUGUGUAAGGAAUCUGAGGAUCUGUAUUUGGGGACUCAAUGUGUCAUUCAGUGGAAACAAAGUACAGCUACUGCCCUGUGGAAACUCCCUGUAUGUUUUCAGUGUUUAAAAAGGCUCUGUGGUUUUUAAUAAGGCAGGACCCACUGUGAUAUGGCCAAUACUGUUUAGAUAAUUCUUUCAUGGUAAUGUACAAGUCAAGGAUGACCCACUAGGACACUUCUUGAUGUGAAAGAUAAUUUUUAACUGCCUUUGUUUCCUCACUGUCUUCCUCACUUUUCCUGGCCUGGAGGUCCCCAUGGGCUCAAGGCUUCACUGCCACCACCUCAGCUGCGGGGGUGGGGUGGGGGUGAGGGUUAGACCUCAGCUGCACUGAGCCUCCCUAAUUCCUGCCCUGUUUUGCGUUGUCAGUGGUCACAAAGAGGCCAGGCUUUACUUUAAAGCUUGUCUACUAGAAUUGCUAAGGAUUAUAUGGGUGCAGUCUAUUUGAUUCACAAAUACUUACAGAGUGCACUAAUUUAAGGGCUACUGAUUUUUUUUUUUCCGCUAUCAUGCAUUCUUACAGUGCUUUAGAGUUUGCAGUGUUUCCAGACACAUUUUAUUCAGUCUAUUGACUCUUAAGUUGGUUGAUGAUGAAGAGGAGGUUCAGAACAGGUGGAGGUCCUGACAGACACCUCAUAGCUAGAAGAUGCCAGAGUAAGGGCAAAUUCAGUUAUCUGAUACCAUGGUGGGCUUCUUUCGUUCUUUGAAGUAUUUUUCCUGAAUCUGUAGCCCUGCCUUACUCUAGACAAGUUUGGUAUCUUCUGGAUCCUAAAAACUAUGUUCCAUUCUCAUUUGGUCUCUCUAAACUUUUUUCUAGACUUCCUCCCUGGUUUUUCUGCCUUUAACCCCAUUACUUCUACUCAGCUCCUCCUGGACAUAUUUCUUGGGGGUCCAUCAUGCUCUUGAAUGGACUCUGGGGAAAGAUGACACAUUUCUUAUGAGACUUAAAACAGACACUUUUCCCACAUUUUAUACAUAUGUACAGUCCUUAUCAAAAUCCAUUAACAUGAUUCAAUCUCACAGAAGGUGGUAAGUAACCAGGUGAAGUGAAGCAGAAAUACUAAAUAGAGAAGAAAAAAGGAAAUUGUUCAGUCAAUAGAAAUGAGAAAUCAGCAGUUUCCAAUCUCAACCACAGCCAGACUCAAAAGAGAAACUGUCAAAUCAAGUUAGUGGGGUGGGUGUAGGGAGUGAAAGGACUUAAAAUUGCAAAUUCAACCAACUAUUUUUAUUCUUUCAUUUAUGGGUAGCUAGAAAGUACCUGUCCUGCUGCUAUGGGUAGGAAUUUGUUUAUUCCAGAUCAUGUAGAAAGAAAAGAUUACAAGGCUGACAGAUUGAGAAGAACGGACUUUGUAAGGCUUGGAGCCAAGUAGCAAUCUAGGAAGGAAAACAACCAAGGAGCUUGAUGACCCCAUCUGCUAUUGCAAUCAAAUAAAACUCUGAGUUAACCUGUCACAUUCUGGUUUUGGUAGUAAUUGUUCUUUGCAUACCUGAUAAGUAUGUGGAAUGACAUCGAGG